AGAGUUUGAUUCUGGCUCAGGAUGAACGCUAGCGGCAGGCCUAAUACAUGCAGGUCGAACGGGAUUUGAGUAGCAAUACUUAAUGAGAGUGGCGCACGGGUGCGUAACGCGUAUGCAACCUACCUUUAACAGGGGGAUAGCUCCGAGAAAUCGAAAUUAAUACCCCAUAGAAUUAUUGAUUGGCAUCAAUUAAUAAUUAAAGCUCCGGCGGUUAAAGAUGGGCAUGCGUGCCAUUAGCUAGUUGGUGAGGUAACGGCUCACCAAGGCAACGAUGGCUAGGGGUUCUGAGAGGAUUAUCCCCCACACUGGUACUGAGACACGGACCAGACUCCUACGGGAGGCAGCAGUAAGGAAUAUUGGGCAAUGGACGCAAGUCUGACCCAGCCAUGCCGCGUGCAGGAAGACAGCCCUAUGGGUUGUAAACUGCUUUUGUCAGGGAAUAACCCCCCGGAUGUAUCCGGGGCUGAAUGUACCUGAAGAAUAAGCAUCGGCUAACUCCGUGCCAGCAGCCGCGGUAAUACGGAGGAUGCGAGCGUUAUCCGGAUUCAUUGGGUUUAAAGGGUGCGCAGGCGGAUUAUUAAGUCAGUGGUGAAAUCCUACAGCUCAACUGUAGAACUGCCAUUGAUACUGAUAAUCUUGAGUGUAUAUGAAGUGGGCGGAAUGUAGCAUGUAGCGGUGAAAUGCAUAGAUAUGCUACAGAACACCAAUUGCGAAGGCAGCUCACUAAACUACAACUGACGCUCAUGCACGAAAGCGUGGGGAUCAAACAGGAUUAGAUACCCUGGUAGUC
This 790-nucleotide ribosomal RNA is filed under the name uncultured Bacteroidota bacterium. Its description in RNAcentral is "bacterial SSU rRNA". It matches the Rfam family "Bacterial small subunit ribosomal RNA", at positions 8 to 795 of the family's 1533-position model. The record is from RNAcentral. Lineage: Bacteria; Pseudomonadati; Bacteroidota.